AGAGUUUGAUCAUGGCUCAGGACGAACGCUGGCGGCGUGCUUAACACAUGCAAGUCGAACGCUGAACCCGGGUGCUUGCACCUGGUGGAUGAGUGGCGAACGGGUGAGUAACACGUGAGUAACCUGCCCCGGUCUCUGGGAUAAGCGCUGGAAACGGUGUCUAAUACUGGAUACGACCCAUCACCGCAUGGUGUGUGGGUGGAAAGAUUUAUCGGAUGGGGAUGGACUCGCGGCCUAUCAGCUUGAUGGUGAGGUAAUGGCUCACCAUGGCGACGACGGGUAGCCGGCCUGAGAGGGUGACCGGCCACACUGGGACUGAGACACGGCCCAGACUCCUACGGGAGGCAGCAGUGGGGAAUAUUGCACAAUGGGCGCAAGCCUGAUGCAGCAACGCCGCGUGAGGGAUGACGGCCUUCGGGUUGUAAACCUCUUUUAGUCAGGAAGAAGCCUUCGGGUGACGGUACUGGCAGAAAAAGCACCGGCUAACUACGUGCCAGCAGCCGCGGUAAUAC
This 512-nucleotide ribosomal RNA is filed under the name uncultured bacterium. RNAcentral describes it as "bacterial SSU rRNA". It matches the Rfam family "Bacterial small subunit ribosomal RNA", at positions 8 to 526 of the family's 1533-position model. The record is from RNAcentral.